GGGAGGGAGGGAGGGAGGGAGGGAGGGAGGGAAAGAGAGAGGCAGAGAGAGAGGGAGUUAUAAUCCUGGUGGAGCGCUGAUUUCGCCAGGCCAGACGAAUCGCCUCCAGGAUCCUGUCACCAUCUCUAUGAAGAUAAAUGGUAUCAUUAAACAGGCUCUGUCAUCGAUUAAACAUCCUGUUGGAAUCCUGUUUUUUUAUGUGGAAAUACAAAAUUGCAAUGGAUAAUGUUCAACAUGAUUCAACGUUUCAGGGUUUGUUACAGAGGGUCCAAUAACAUUCCAGAAUUCAGAUAGAGCUGCAGCGGUUUUAACCUUUACUUGUGUUACUGCCAAAAAACGGUGUUUCACACCAAGCAAUUUGAGUUGAAUACAUGUUGUUAUUACUGGGACUAUGUCAUAAUGGCUGAUUAUGAUUGUUACAAUACCCACUACUAGCAGCUACAAUGCUAUUAGUACCAACGGCAAUACGAGAUCCAUUCAUGAUGAAUACACACUGAAAUGCCAUGGAGAUGGAUGUGUGUCUACAAAAGCACACAGGCAUUGUUGCGUUGGCCGUGAGGUGUGUUUGUUUGUGAGGGCCUGAGUGUGUGUGUGGUGUGGAUGGGAGAGUACACAGAGAAGGAGUAAAAGUGUGUGUAUGUGUGAGUGAGUGAUUAGAUUUGGUCUGUCUGUCUUUGUGUGUAUGCAUUCAUAUGUGUGUAUCUGUAGUGUGUGUGCUUUCUUGCCUGCAUGUGUGUGUGUGUGCCACAGAGAGAGGAAGUAUAAGGGGGUGCAGGUGGCAUGGAGCAGGCUGGCACGGGCGGGCACGGGCCCACUGUCCCCUGGCAAUGCCAACACCAUCUGUCAUGGAGAGGAACAUCUGCAGCCCAAGGUGCCCUUGUCACCCAGCGUUAGAGUAACCAGUUUGGCGUUUCCAUUGGAAGCGACCUGGCAUAGCCAGAGCCACGCAAUUUAUGUGUGUGUUUGUGUCUGUAUGUGUGUUUGUGUGAGAGAGAGAGGGAGGGAGGGAGAGUGUGUGUGUGUGUGUGUGUGUGUGUGUGUGUGUGUGUGUGUGUGUGUGUGUGUGUGUGUGUGUGUGUGUGUGUGUGUGUGUGUGUGUGUGUGUGUGUGUGUGUGUGUGUGUGUAUUAGAGAACCAAAGCCAAAACAACAUGGCUGUGCAAAGCGUUGACCCAGCUGGACCCCAGUUGCAUGCAGAGUCAUGUCCCCUCCUGAUGCUAGUGUGCCACUACAUCCACACCGCUGCCAGACUUAGCCCUGCAAGCCCUCUCUCCUACCCUCCUGCCUCUCCUCUCCUCUCCUCUGGUGUCUCCUCUCCUCCGGUCUCUCCUCUC
This is a long non-coding RNA of Oncorhynchus tshawytscha (Chinook salmon), 1333 nucleotides long. Lineage: Eukaryota; Metazoa; Chordata; Actinopteri; Salmoniformes; Salmonidae. The record is from Ensembl.